AGGUGAAUUCCCAGGCGUACUCCAUGAUUAAUGAAAUAGAUAUCCCUAUACGGAAGCUAAGAUUUUGUUCAGUCGGGCUCUUAUUAAAAAGAAUGAGGCUGAAAUUAAUUAUUUAUGCGCUCAAGAUAACCACCGCCACAAUGGGCGGCUAGUCGACACGGCAAAAAGCUUUAGCUAGAGGAGCUGGCUGUUCUCUGUGAAUGGAAAGAAUGAGGACAAUACCAAGGAAUGUGCGAAUCACAGCUAUCGAUUGGAGUUAAACUCUCUAUUAAGAUAAUUUUACUUUGUAAUAAUUUUUACUAUAUAUAUAUAUAUAAUAUAUUGUGCAAGAAAAUUUAAUUUUUGUGAUUUUCCAUAUUUUAUGUGUGCUAAAUAAAUAUUUAGAAACA
Long non-coding RNA from Drosophila sulfurigaster albostrigata, 389 nucleotides. RefSeq lists it as uncharacterized. NCBI's taxonomy places the organism in Eukaryota, Metazoa, Arthropoda, Insecta, Diptera, Drosophilidae. The record is from RefSeq and is a predicted model, not a curated record. The transcript has 3 exons.